AUCAAAAACAUAGCAUAAAGAUUUUAUUUUAGGUUAAUUCUGCCCAGCGUAAUAUUAGCGGCCGCAGUACCUUGACUGUGCUAAGGUAGCAUAAUCAGUUGGCUUUUAAUUGAAGUCUGGAAUGAACGGACUGAUGGGGAAUAGCUGUCUCAGGGAAAUUUUUUUGAAUUUAUUUAGUAAGUGAAAAUACUUAUAUUAAGAAAAAAGACGAGAAGACCCUUAGAAUUUUUAAUAAAAUACAUUUAUAUUAUUUUUUUGUUGGGGCGACAUUGAAACACUUAAACUUUCUCUACUUCACGACAUUAAGGUUUGAAAGAGUAAAUUACCUUAGGGAUAACAGCAUAAUUAAUUAUUUAGUUUGUGACCUCGAUGUUGGACUAGGAACUAGUUGACUAACCGUCAAAAUAGAUUGUUCUGUUUCGAACAGGAAUUCC
RNAcentral lists this ribosomal RNA (434 nucleotides) under Galba bulimoides. Its description in RNAcentral is "partial 16S ribosomal RNA". It matches the Rfam family "Bacterial large subunit ribosomal RNA", at positions 1806 to 2595 of the family's 2925-position model. Lineage: Eukaryota; Metazoa; Mollusca; Gastropoda; Lymnaeidae. The record is from RNAcentral.